GAGGGUAUAGUUCAAGUGGUAGAGCACAUGUUUAGCAUGCACGAGGUCCUGGGUUCAAUCCCCAGUACCUCCU
This 73-nucleotide transfer RNA is filed under the name Camelus bactrianus (Bactrian camel). It matches the Rfam family "tRNA". From Rfam's summary of the family: Transfer RNA (tRNA) molecules are approximately 80 nucleotides in length. Their secondary structure includes four short double-helical elements and three loops (D, anti-codon, and T loops). The record is from Rfam by way of RNAcentral. Lineage: Eukaryota; Metazoa; Chordata; Mammalia; Artiodactyla; Camelidae. RNAcentral also lists the same sequence under 3 other names.